This 628-nucleotide ribosomal RNA is filed under the name Ganoderma lingzhi. RNAcentral describes it as "eukaryotic LSU rRNA". The stretch from base 240 to 393 matches the Rfam family "5.8S ribosomal RNA". Lineage: Eukaryota; Fungi; Basidiomycota; Agaricomycetes; Polyporales; Polyporaceae. The record is from RNAcentral.
AACAAGGUUUCCGUAGGUGAACCUGCGGAAGGAUCAUUAUCGAGUUUUGACCGGGUUGUAGCUGGCCUUCCGAGGCAUGUGCACGCCCUGCUCAUCCACUCUACACCUGUGCACUUACUGUGGGCUUCAGAUUGCGAGGCACGCUCUUUACCGGGCUUGCGGAGCAUAUCUGUGCCUGCGUUUAUCACAAACUCUAUAAAGUAACAGAAUGUGUAUUGCGAUGUAACACAUCUAUAUACAACUUUCAGCAACGGAUCUCUUGGCUCUCGCAUCGAUGAAGAACGCAGCGAAAUGCGAUAAGUAAUGUGAAUUGCAGAAUUCAGUGAAUCAUCGAAUCUUUGAACGCACCUUGCGCUCCUUGGUAUUCCGAGGAGCAUGCCUGUUUGAGUGUCAUGAAAUCUUCAACCUACAAGCUUUUGUGGUUUGUAGGCUUGGACUUGGAGGCUUGUCGGCCGUUAUCGGUCGGCUCCUCUUAAAUGCAUUAGCUUGGUUCCUUGCGGAUCGGCUCUCGGUGUGAUAAUGUCUACGCCGCGACCGUGAAGCGUUUGGCGAGCUUCUAACCGUCUUAUAAGACAGCUUUAUGACCUCUGACCUCAAAUCAGGUAGGACUACCCGCUGAACUUAAGCA